RNAcentral lists this microRNA precursor (84 nucleotides) under Bombyx mori (domestic silkworm). RNAcentral's name for it is "mir-2807 microRNA precursor family". It matches the Rfam family "mir-2807 microRNA precursor family". Lineage: Eukaryota; Metazoa; Arthropoda; Insecta; Lepidoptera; Bombycidae. The record is from Rfam by way of RNAcentral.
UUAACUCAAAUUUGUAUGGAGUUGGAAUGUUUGCCUACGUUUGCCGCUAGGGGCGCUGUUCCAACUCCAUACAAAUUUGUGUUA